This 1689-nucleotide long non-coding RNA is filed under the name Ricinus communis (castor bean). RNAcentral's name for it is "long non-coding RNA (RCOM_LNC002688)". Lineage: Eukaryota; Viridiplantae; Streptophyta; Magnoliopsida; Malpighiales; Euphorbiaceae. The record is from RNAcentral.
UGGAGUGUUACUUUAGCUUGGCCCCUCGCCGUUUUCCUUCUUCCCCCGACGCUAACACCUCCUCUCCCCACCACUUUCUCUGUUUCCACGUCUGCACCUAUAGCAGCCACCGAAACCUCUCGCCAGGGUCGUCUUCCUCUUCUCCUUUCCUCGCUAUUUGACUUUAGCUUGUGGGUGGAGUUGCUCCCUCCCUGCUGCCACCAUACAACCAGCCACCUGCUGCCGUCCUUUUGCCAAUUUGCCGCCAGAAUCAAGUAUCUUGCCCUCCAAAAGCUAGGAAUAGCUCCUCCCCAUCCCCGUUCCUUCGCCGGCAGCCUUCAGAGCAGCCUCCUUCCCACCGCAAUCUAGUGGUUUCGGACGAAGGCAAGGUUGUGAUUUGGUGUUUUUGGCUUCAGCUUAUUUCAAGCUUCGCGUAGCCGCUUCGGGAUUCGAAUUCCAACACUGUUGGCGGUACCGGUUUCCAAAACCUGAUUUUUUUCGAACGCAAAAUUUCAGAUUUUUGUAUCGUAUAAUUUUUUUGAACUCGAAAAAUUAUUUAAAAUUAUUAAAAAAUAUUUGGUGUAUUAAUUGUUAAAUUUUAAUAAUUAAUAAAAUUAUUUAAUUAAUUAGUAGCUUGAUCCUAGAAAUACUAUAGAUUAAUUAUCGAAAAAAUUAUUAUUUUGUUGUGUAAAUUGAGGCUGUUGGAUCGUAAAAUAAUAUUAUUUUGCCAAACUGUUAAUUAUGGUAUUGUGAUCUGGGUUGUGUCGUUGAGUCGAAAAAAAUAAUGCAGCUUUGGUAGCUGAAUCCUCUUAAUUAAAUGUGAAAUAUUUGAAUUAUUUUUUAUCAGGUUUUGAACCCGUUAUACAAGGAGUAAAUGUCCAUAUUUUAAGGAAAGUUCUGCCGUAUUUUUAAGUCAGGAUCAGUCGGAAUUUCUUAAACAGGCUAAUCUAGGAGUUUAGGCCUAUGAAAAAUUAUGAAUAUUUUAUUAAUUUAAUUAUUUUCGUAAAUAGAGAAUCCGUCAGUCCAGCCAACUCCAUCCGAAAUGUAGGAGCAGAACAGCGAAACUCGGCAGAACUAUGAGUUACAAUUAUAUAUUCUACCGCAUGUGUCAUAUCUGCAUUUAAAUGAAAUUCCUAAAUGAAUAAUUAUUAUAGUUAUUUUAGUAGUAUAAGUAUUAUUAAAUUUAUUUUAUUUUCAUUAUCAUUAACAUUAUUAAUAUUAAUAUUAUUAUUGUUGUUAUUAUUAUUAUUCUUCUUAUUAUUAUUAUUUGUGCUAUAACAUUUAUUAUCAUCUCAAUUAUUAGUAUUAUUGUUAUUAUCAUUGUUGAUGUUGUUUAAAUAUUAUUAAUUUUAUAAACUUGUAUUACUUCACUGCACUGCUAUUACUACCGUGAUUGUUGAGUAUCAUGUUGCAUGUAAUAUUACUGAUGUUAAUGUUUUGUAGCUCUAGAUGAGGCAACAGUAAAACAUGCCACCCAUGACUACAUCAGGACUGUGUGUGCACCGGUAUAAAUAUGAGUAAGAUAAUAGAGGAAUAUUCGAUGAUGUGCCCUGGUCGAGCACAAUUCUCUAGGUCUAUGGAAGUGUGAUUUGCUGAAAAAAGAUCCAUGGUCAAACAUUGUUUUCUAAGCGCCGGCUAUAUUGGUAUUUAAGUGACCAGACUGGACUUAAUGACCUUGGUCGAGCCUUGCUCUCUGGGCGUCAGUAUUAU